AAAACCUCUCAGAAGAAAAGCAGCAAACGCCAAAGACGAAGAGAAGGCUUUAUGGAUAGAGAAACAGAGGGUGGGGAGAAAGGAGAGCGAGGAGUUUAGACUUCUGCACUGUUUCCUCUCUCUUCAGUCUGUCUGUCGUUUUUUUGAAGCGCAUUGUCUCUCUUCUCUUCUUCUCUCCCCUGUUUUUCUCAAGCUGGUCAUCUCCAGAAUGAAUAGAAGGCUUGUACUUACAGUCCUGGCCCUGAAUGUUGUAACCAAUGAAAUCAAGGUAUCCACCUCCCAACCUCUCACACCAUCCAACUCCACUCCUGCUACCUUCAUUCCCCCUGCUCCCACCACUUCCUGUGUGUGUAAAGUCUCCACUUCCUGUUCCUCUCCGACCCAGCCCGAGUCUCCGCCACCUGCGCUGGGUGUUAUCAAGGUCAAAUGGGAAGAAAAGUCCUGGCUGUGUAAGAGGAAGGGCUGCGAGGGCUCCCCAACGUGGACUAAGAUCAAUCCUAAAGCUUUGGGUUACCAGAUCAGUACGAAUGGAAGUGUUGCCAACAACCCCUGUACAACACUGGGGAUCCAAUGCGACGUCGUCUCAGAUCAGUUAGUGGGCUAUAAGGUGGUGACUGGUCUACUGUGUGUUCUGGUGCUGGUGGUGCUGAUGGUGCGUUUCGGGCAGCCCUCCCUCAAGGCCCUCCGUAGGAG
Long non-coding RNA from Oncorhynchus tshawytscha (Chinook salmon), 693 nucleotides. Lineage: Eukaryota; Metazoa; Chordata; Actinopteri; Salmoniformes; Salmonidae. The record is from Ensembl.